GAUCCUGGCUCAGGAUGAACGCUGGCGGCGUGCCUAAUACAUGCAAGUAGAACGCUGAAGGAAGGAGCUUGCUCUUUCCGGAUGAGUUGCGAACGGGUGAGUAACGCGUAGGUAACCUGCCUGGUAGCGGGGGAUAACUAUUGGAAACGAUAGCUAAUACCGCAUAACAGUAGAUAUUGCAUGAUAUCUGCUUGAAAGGUGCAAUUGCAUCACUACCAGAUGG
This 223-nucleotide ribosomal RNA is filed under the name uncultured bacterium. RNAcentral describes it as "partial 16S ribosomal RNA". It matches the Rfam family "Bacterial small subunit ribosomal RNA", at positions 15 to 228 of the family's 1533-position model. The record is from RNAcentral.